RNAcentral lists this transfer RNA (83 nucleotides) under Patescibacteria group bacterium. RNAcentral describes it as "tRNA-Tyr". It matches the Rfam family "tRNA". From Rfam's summary of the family: Transfer RNA (tRNA) molecules are approximately 80 nucleotides in length. Their secondary structure includes four short double-helical elements and three loops (D, anti-codon, and T loops). The record is from RNAcentral.
GGGUCGGUACCAAAGCGGUCAAAUGGGGCAGACUGUAAAUCUGCUGGCUCCUGCCUUCGCAAGUUCGAGUCUUGCCCGGCCCA